UACGUAGGGUCCGAGCGUUGUCCGGAAUUACUGGGCGUAAAGAGCUCGUAGGUGGUUUGUCGCGUUGUUCGUGAAAACUCACAGCUCAACUGUGGGCGUGCGGGCGAUACGGGCAGACUGGAGUACUGCAGGGGAGACUGGAAUUCCUGGUGUAGCGGUGAAAUGCGCAGAUAUCAGGAGGAACACCGAUGGCGAAGGCAGGUCUCUGGGCCACUACUGACGCUGAGGUGCGAAAGCUAGGGGAGCAAACGGG
Molecule: ribosomal RNA, 253 nt
Filed under: uncultured bacterium
Lineage: Bacteria
Description: partial 16S ribosomal RNA
Rfam family: Bacterial small subunit ribosomal RNA
Source: RNAcentral